RNAcentral lists this ribosomal RNA (465 nucleotides) under Vreelandella stevensii. RNAcentral describes it as "partial 16S ribosomal RNA". It matches the Rfam family "Bacterial small subunit ribosomal RNA", at positions 338 to 795 of the family's 1533-position model. Lineage: Bacteria; Pseudomonadati; Pseudomonadota; Gammaproteobacteria; Oceanospirillales; Halomonadaceae. The record is from RNAcentral.
CCUACGGGGGGCAGCAGUGGGGAAUAUUGGACAAUGGGGGGAACCCUGAUCCAGCCAUGCCGCGUGUGUGAAGAAUGCCCUCGGGUUGUAAAGCACUUUCAGUGAGGAAGAACGCCUGGUGGUUAAUACCCAUCAGGAAAGACAUCACUCACAGAAGAAGCACCGGCUAACUCCGUGCCAGCAGCCGCGGUAAUACGGAGGGUGCGAGCGUUAAUCGGAAUUACUGGGCGUAAAGCGCGCGUAGGUGGCUUGAUAAGCCGGUUGUGAAAGCCCCGGGCUCAACCUGGGAACGGCAUCCGGAACUGUCAAGCUAGAGUGCAGGAGAGGAAGGUAGAAUUCCCGGUGUAGCGGUGAAAUGCGUAGAGAUCGGGAGGAAUACCAGUGGCGAAGGCGGCCUUCUGGACUGACACUGACACUGAGGUGCGAAAGCGUGGGUAGCAAACAGGAUUAGAUACCCGUGUAGUC